UCUUCUCUUUUUGUUGUUGUUUAUUAUGGGAUGUGGGCUGCAAAUUAAACCACUGAACCCGAAACAAGGAGUACGCCCGAGCACAAACCCGAGACAAGGAGUUCGCAGACAAGCACCAGCUUGUGAGCACCAUUUCGCUUGUGCUGAGGUUGUGGGCGCCGGUAGCAGUGGUCCCAGCUUCGGUUAUGUAUGCGCACGUUGAUUUGGUUCAGGGUGAAGACGGAUGAAAAACAACAGCAGCCAUCCGCGGCAGUCGAGAUGGUUGUACACCAUUCUCCUUUAUUUGGACGGCAAUGAGAACCAAUUCGCACAACAACAGUGUUCGCUAAGAUAAAGUUUGGAGUUUAUAACGGAGAUAAAGCAAACAAAACCAAUUUUAUA
Molecule: long non-coding RNA, 381 nt
Organism: Ornithodoros turicata
Lineage: Eukaryota; Metazoa; Arthropoda; Arachnida; Ixodida; Argasidae
Exons: 2
Source: RefSeq, a predicted model, not a curated record